Xenopus tropicalis (tropical clawed frog) is the source of this 1426-nucleotide long non-coding RNA. RefSeq lists it as uncharacterized. Lineage: Eukaryota; Metazoa; Chordata; Amphibia; Anura; Pipidae. The record is from RefSeq and is a predicted model, not a curated record. The transcript is spliced from 2 exons.
CCUGUCAGGUGAUCAGUGAGUGACACACAAAAUGGCGUAACAGUUAGAACCUGCAUUAUUUCCUGUCAGGUGAUCAGGGAGUGACACACAAAAUGGCGUAACAGUUAGAACCUGCAUUAUUUCCUGUCAGGUGAUCAGUGAGUGACACACAAAAUGGCGUAACAGUUAGAACCUGCAUUAUUUCCUGUCAGGUGACACACAAAAUGGCGUAACUGUUAGAACCUGCAUUAUUUCCUGUCAGGUGAUCAGGGAGUGACACACAAAAUGGCGUAACAGUUAGAACCUGCAUUAUUUCCUGUCCGGUGAUCAGGGAGUGACACACAAAAUGUCGUAACAGUUAGAACCUGCAUUAUUUCCUGUCAGGUGACACACAAAAUGGUGGGAUAAACAUGUAAACAAUUCCUGCAGGUCCCAACGGCAAGGUAGUUUCCCUGAUAGCCCUAAUGUGCUUCAGCAAGGAAAUAAAUCACAAAACUCUGUUACAUUUGCCGUCAGUCGCUGACAGGGGAUAUAAAUGCAAGUAGCGACGAGCAGUAAAUGGGAGGGGAUCUGGGGCAGGUAACGGCAAUUUAAAGCACACAGAACAGUAGAAUUACCGGGGGUAUAAAGUUGUGGGGCAAACCCCUAAUGGUUUCAGUCAGUUACUUUAGACCCCAUCCCGAUGCUCCUCUUCUUGUGAUAAUGCAGCGGCCCAGGGCACUUCCUUCUCAGGGCCUUGCCCACACACUUCCGGUACCCAGGCUUACCACCUUUUCUGGAUAAAAAUACCAACAUUCCUAUAUCUUUCUUCCCUGAUAAUAACAUUGGGAUAAAGCAUCAUUUGCACUGGUCAGGCCAGUAGAAUACCAGACAGGUGACAACUCUACUGGUCUCCCAGCAUCCUUUGCUCCAGUUUCUGUGCUCUUCAUGCACAUACACAGUGGCCAUUGGGGCACUUUUGUAGUAGUGCCGGGCCAGAGUCAGAAGUAAAUGACAAAAAUAACUGGAGUGCAUAACAACUUGGCCCCCCACCAGUGAUUCUACCUUUCCUCCCCUAAUCACACCCUGUGUGCCAUCACGUAGAUUUAGUAAUGUCUUGCCAUCAAAUAUUUUUUACUUUCCGUGAGGUUUAUGUUUAUUUCUGCUUUCCUGAAGGCACUUCCUGGCUUCUAUCUGCUUAUUAACACUAAACAGUACAACAUAAAUUGCAUGGAAAAUUCCACGACUCAUGGGUGGGUCUCAUCGUGGGAAGUUCCAAGACUCCUUGGAGGGUUCUCCUAUGGAUGCAGCACUAAUUGGUGGGAAAUGCUGCAGGCGGCAUUCCCUAGGCUACAGUUGCUUGUUAGUGAAGGGACUCUGGUCAAUAGCUGCUCUAUGGAGUUAAUAAAUGGCACCACUAUAAGAGAUGGAGCUGUGAGCACUCCUGUAACACCCCCAGUUUGCCUGA